Aethalodelphis obliquidens (Pacific white-sided dolphin) is the source of this 3539-nucleotide long non-coding RNA. RefSeq lists it as uncharacterized. The record is from RefSeq and is a predicted model, not a curated record. Lineage: Eukaryota; Metazoa; Chordata; Mammalia; Artiodactyla; Delphinidae. The transcript has 3 exons.
GAGCCUACCUGGCUCUUUGGUGGGGCUAAAUGGUGGACUCUGGGAGGGCUCUCACCAAGGAGUACUUCCCAGAACUUCUGCGGCCAGUGUCAUUGUUCUCACUGUGAGCCACAGCCCCACCCCACCUCUGCAGGAGACCCUCCAACACUAGCAGAUGCCGGAGGCUCAGGAGGCAGCCCUGGAGGAGUCGCGCUGUGGGCUUCACCUUUACCAGCAUGUGAUUCUUCAUCACUAAGUCCCUGCUGCAAGGAUCAUAUCCAUCUGAUCCUCAACUGCACCUUCUCUCUCACUGGAGCAGGGGCGUGGAGCCCUGAACUGGGGAGCUGAGUCCACGUCCCCACCUUUGUCUGCCUUUGCAAAGUGUCGGAGAGGAAGGCGUUUUCCUCUGCCUUCCGGGUUCUUCUGGCUGGUCUAAGAAUUGCACUGACAUGAGACAGAUGAACAGGAGAAAAGCAAACAAAAGUUUAAUAACACAUAUACAUGGGAGUGAUCCAGGAAAACUGAGUAAAUCACCAAAAUGCAUGAAGCCCUCACCUUACCUACCACCUUCUGCUAAAGACAGAAGAGGAUGCUGAGGGUGGGGAGAGUCAGUUUUGGGAGGCGACUGGGUGAGGUUCUUAUGCAGAUUGAAGUCCUGCCUUCUCCAGUGAUGAGAGUUUCUAGAGGCUUGGACAUCCUCUUCUUCCUGCUGCGGAGGGGGAGAUAUCCUUACAAACAGAGCCUUCCCUUCUAAAUGCAAAUGUUUCUUACAAAAGAGUAAUUCCUGCUUGGUUUUCAGAGUUUUUCCCAUGUAUGCUGUUUCUUAGAAAAUAGGCAGCUUAAAAUAAUUAAUAUGCCCAAGAGACACACUUUCAGGUGGCAAAAUUGGCUCCCCUACAAAAGCCUCCCAGAGACGCAGUGCAGCUCACACCCCUCAUUUGUCCAGUCGGACACUUAGCUUAAUUGAGUGCAAGUCGAAUUAUUAGUUCACAGCUACAAAACCCUCCAUCCCCACCACUGUAGUUGGCCUCAUUAGGGGGGAUAAUCUGUCUUAAAAGAGAUUUGUUUUAAAACUCCUAAGACUCAAGUUGCUCCUGUCUAGUGAGGGCAUAAUUUAAUAUGACCACCAGAAUGCACAUGUCCGAUUCUAGGGGACCUAUUGGUAUUGGUUUUAUCAGUUGGAAGACAUUGGUGUUCAACUGAAUAAUGACAUCUUCAGGAAAAGCGGGCCCUGCUUAUUUUUAUGAAAUAUUAUCUACUGGGAGCAAGUGCUGGUCUCACAAACAGUUUCUGUCCAAGCUCCUCAAGAACAGGAUGUGAUCAGCAAAGUGAAUGAUUUUCUCUUUAACACAGAGUAAUCUGUCUGCUCUCGUGUAAACAGCAUUCAAUUUUUCUUGGCAUAAUGGCUUCCUCUGUAGAUGAAAUGAGCCUUUUGUACUUGAGAAAAAUGUGUAUAAUUUUGGCCAUUGGCUGAGAUAACUUAACAGCUUUCUGAAGUCAGGUAUUUUUAGAGCGCAUGUAAAACAGCGACUGGUAAUUAAUAGAAUAUCGACUGGUUCAGCCUCGUCUAAUCAUAGACUGCAUAUAAAUCAUAAGGUGUUUUGCAAUUAGGAAAAUCCAUAUUAAAUAACAAAGUACUGUUAUCUCAGUAAACUUAACAAGUGUGGACUAAUGCAGUAUGGAAUAAUUGCUGCAAUACAGAUGUACCUGUAUAGAACAGGUCUCCAUUUAUCGCACGUAAAACAGACUUCUUGUUUUUGUGGACACGGCUGUACUGACUAAAGGUCACUGGUGAAAUACUUCGCCAAUAUCCCCAAAAUGCUUGUUUCUCCUCCAGGGAUUUUCCAUACUGUCUGUCUAUCCCAAACACCAGCAGAGCCUUCUCUUUGCAUCUCUACACGGGUAGUGAUUAAAGGCUCCUUGAUUUCAGCAGUGCCAACCAGGAUCACAGCAUUUAUGGAGCUUUCAGCAUCCCCAUUACAAAUGUCUCAUAAGUGAUCAGCUGUAAAGCAUAUUUGAACCAGCUGAGGACAACAUCAGCAUAAAAAGAUCUCAAAAGAUCUUGGCCUGAGAGAGGAUAUUCUUUUUAUGAUGAGAUUUUCCCAUUUAUUUUUAAAAUAUAUAGAACACUUUUAUUUACAUUUGCCAUCUAUUUCAUAGAAAAAAAUAUAGAAGAGUAUUGUGUUACUCUUUUCACUUGGGCAUAUAUCGCUUCUAAAAAAAUAAGACACUGGAAACAAUUUUUAUAUUGGAUGGCUACUUAGUUAUUAGAGUUUUUUCAUUCCAUGACAUGCUCCCAUUUGUAUCUAUGGAGAGUUAAAAGGCUAUGAACUUACUCUCAUUAUUUGGUUGAAUGGUGCCUUUAAAAUGUUUAUUUUAGAGCAGGAAGGGAUCUUCAGGUCAUUUAAUCUAAUAGUCAUUUGUGAGAUGAGGGAAGUAAGGAGGAGAUAAGUAAAUGAAGGGGUUCAGGACCUGCCAACCCCAAAUGUGCCACUUUGUUGUGUAACCGAAAGUGGGUUCUGGCUGCUCACCGCUCAAAAGCCAAUAAAGAGGCAAGGUUCGUGGAAGCAAAAGUGUUUUUUAUUUUGGGUGCUGGCAACCGAUGCUUUGCAAAGGCAGACAAAGGUGGGGACGUGGACUCAGCUCCCCAGUUCAGGGCUCCACGCCCCCGCUCCAGUGAGAGAGAAGGUGCAGUUGAGGAUCAGAUGGAUAUGAUCCUUGCAGCAGGGACUGAGGGGAGGGAAAAGGGAGAAAGAAAAAUAGCCCUGAUUAUAUUUUGGGUGAAUAUCACUCUUCUUCUAUCUCAAACUUUUACCCAGUAACUAGGAAAUAUACUUUCCUACUUUGCCCAAAUUUUCCAAGGAGCCUUAAGCUGUGCCUGCUUUCCAAGGAUUGGGGAGGGACUGGGGAGGGUAGUGUUGACUGGAAACAGGCAUCCCCCUGAUGAGACAGCUCAUCUUCCUGUUUCAGGGCAGAGCCGUUGAAGCAGGAGAGGCAUCAUGGCCUCCAGAGGGCAGGAAGAAAGCAUGGAUGACUAAGGAGGUGCUAUGGACUGAAUGUCUGUGUGCCCCGCCAGAUUCCUGUGUUGAGUCCUAACCCCCAAGGGGAUGGUGUCAGGAGGUGGGGCCUUUGGGAGGUGAUGAGGUCAUGAGGGUGGAGCCCCCACGAUGGGAUCAGUGUCCUUAUAGAAGAGAUUCCAGAGAGCUCCCUUGCCCCUUCCUCCACGUGGGGACACAGGGAGAAGAUGCCUUCUAAGAACCAGGAGGAGCCCUCACCAGACACCCAAUCUGCCGGCACCUUAAUCUUGGACUUCCAGCCUCCAGAACUGUGAGAGAUACUUGCUGUUCAUAAGCUGCACUGUCUACGGUAAUUUCUUGUGAAGGUGCAAACGGGCUGAGCCAGCUGGGCAGAGAGGAUGGAAACUGCUGGGCCCUGGGAGCACAGGCUACUUGGAGAGUGGUCAGAGCUACUGCAGGGCCAGUCAGCUCUGACAGUCAUCUUGAUGUUGGUCAUGCAGUGGUCUGAUCAGCGUCAUCCUGAUUGUUUUAAGUGUAGUUCAU